Molecule: ribosomal RNA, 253 nt
Filed under: uncultured bacterium
Lineage: Bacteria
Description: partial 16S ribosomal RNA
Rfam family: Bacterial small subunit ribosomal RNA
Source: RNAcentral
UACGUAGGUGGCAAGCGUUGUCCGGAAUUACUGGGCGUAAAGCGUGCGCAGGCGGUGAUGUAAGACCGAUGUGAAAUCCCCGGGCUUAACCUGGGAACUGCAUUGGUGACUGCAUUGCUAGAGUAUGGCAGAGGGGGGUGGAAUUCCACGUGUAGCAGUGAAAUGCGUAGAGAUGUGGAGGAACACCGAUGGCGAAGGCAGCCCCCUGGGCCAAUACUGACGCUCAUGCACGAAAGCGUGGGGAGCAAACAGG